CACAUGCAAGUCGAGCGGUAACAUUUCUAGCUUGCUAGAAGAUGACGAGCGGCGGACGGGUGAGUAACGCGUAGAAAUCUACCUAGUAGUGGGGAUAGCCCAGAGAAAUUUGGAUUAAUACCGCAUACGCCCUACGGGGAAAGCGGGGGAUCUUCGGACCUCGUGCUAUUAGAUGAGUCUGCGUCGGAUUAGCUUGUUGGUGAGGUAAUGGCUCACCAAGGCGACGAUCCGUAGCUGGUCUGAGAGGAUGACCAGCCACACUGGAACUGAGACACGGUCCAGACUCCUACGGGAGGCAGCAGUGGGGAAUAUUGCACAAUGGGCGCAAGCCUGAUGCAGCCAUGCCGCGUGUGUGAAGAAGGCCUUAGGGUUGUAAAGCACUUUCAGCAGUGAGGAAAGGGGUGUCGUUAAUAGCGCCAUCCUGUGACGUUAACUGCAGAAGAAGGACCGGCUAACUCCGUG
Molecule: ribosomal RNA, 462 nt
Filed under: uncultured bacterium
Lineage: Bacteria
Description: bacterial SSU rRNA
Rfam family: Bacterial small subunit ribosomal RNA
Source: RNAcentral